This 30-nucleotide non-coding RNA is filed under the name Rattus norvegicus (Norway rat). The record is from RNAcentral. Lineage: Eukaryota; Metazoa; Chordata; Mammalia; Rodentia; Muridae.
ACAGGCCAGCAGCACAGAUUGGAUGAGAGU